Molecule: long non-coding RNA, 614 nt
Organism: Oncorhynchus nerka (sockeye salmon)
Lineage: Eukaryota; Metazoa; Chordata; Actinopteri; Salmoniformes; Salmonidae
Exons: 3
Source: RefSeq, a predicted model, not a curated record
GGCGGUGUCCCGGAGAUCAGGCGUCGCGUGGCGGUCCAGUGGGACGCUGACCUGGAGGAGGCGGUGGAUGGAGUGAGGUAUAUCGCUGAACACAUGAAGACAGAGGACGGAGAUGAAGGGAUCAUAGAGGACUGGAAGUACGUAGCGAUGGUAAUUGACCGUCUGUUCCUGUGGAUCUUUAUCCUGGUGUGUGUGGUGGGAACCCUGGGUCUCUUCAUGCAGCCCCUCUUCCAGAGCUACAACACUCCUACUGCAGACAGCAACGAGUAUGGUGAUUUCUGAGAGCCCCUGGGCGUCGGAGAGGGAAACCCUGUAGCAGCUAAACGGACCGUUGUCCUACGAACUCUGGAGCAACCUGUGCCAAAGCACCGCCAGUAGUACUUCUCCCCUCGGCAGCAGCUCAUGAAGCAUUAUAAAACAUUAUAGAGGUACUAUAGGGUCUACUGUGAGCCGUACGCUGGAUCUCUCUCUCUAACUCUCUCUGGGCUCUCCACUCUUCAAGACAAGAUCUCAACUAACAACAGUAGUACUUCUCCCCUCGGCAGCAGCUCAUGGAGCAUUAUAAGACAUUAUAGAGGUACUAUACGGUCCACUGUGAGCCGUACGCUGGAUCU